RNAcentral lists this ribosomal RNA (216 nucleotides) under uncultured Glomus. RNAcentral's name for it is "partial 18S ribosomal RNA". The stretch from base 47 to 216 matches the Rfam family "Eukaryotic small subunit ribosomal RNA", at positions 693 to 864 of the family's 1831-position model. Lineage: Eukaryota; Fungi; Glomeromycota; Glomeromycetes; Glomerales; Glomeraceae. The record is from RNAcentral.
GGAUCAAUAUGUCGGUCGUGCCAUCGGUACGUACUGGUAUCAUUGGUUUCUCCUUUCUGACGAACCAUGAUGUCAUUAAUUUGGUGUUAUGGGGAGUUAGGACUGUUACUUUGAAAAAAUUAGAGUGUUUAAAGCAGGCUUACGCUUGAAUACAUUAGCAUGGAAUAAUGAAAUAGGACGUUUGAUUCUAUUUUGUUGGUUUCUAGGAUCGACGUA